UCCGAGUUGUCCCCGGCAGUCCUCUUAGAGUCCUCGGCAUGACCCGGUAGCAACUGGGAGCGGGGGUUGCGCUCGUUGCGGGACUUAACCCAACAUCUCACGACACGAGCUGACGACAGCCAUGCAGCACCUGUCUCGGGACUCCGAAGAGGGGACCUCGUUUCUGAGGUCUUUCCCCGAGAUGUCAAGCCCAGGUAAGGUUCUUCGCGUUGCGUCGAAUUAAACCACAUGCUCCACCGCUUGUGCGGGCCCCCGUCAAUUCCUUUGAGUUUCAGCCUUGCGGCCGUACUCCCCAGGCGGGGCACUUAAUGCGUUAGCGUCGACACCACAGGGGUCAAUACCCGUGACAUCUAGCUUCCAUCGUUUACAGCGUGGACUAC
RNAcentral lists this unclassified non-coding RNA (380 nucleotides) under uncultured bacterium. Its description in RNAcentral is "contains 16S-23S intergenic spacer region". The record is from RNAcentral.